This 2254-nucleotide long non-coding RNA is filed under the name Marmota monax (woodchuck). The record is from RNAcentral. Lineage: Eukaryota; Metazoa; Chordata; Mammalia; Rodentia; Sciuridae.
UCCACGUGGCCGUGAGGAGCACACACAUACAUCUCCAGCAAUCCAAAUGCACCACAUGUAGCCCCUGUGCCUGAUAGUCAUGUGUGUGAGGGCACAGGAGUCCUGCCUCUUCUCAGCCUCUGCCUCCCUGGCCUCCUCUGGCCAUUCACGGAAAGGGCCCAGGAAGCAAGCAAGGCCAGGAUGGGACAGGCAUCAUUAAAUACCACCCUGCCCUUUCUCUUUCCUUCUAGCUGUCCUCUCCCCCAGGGGCUUCUUCACAUGAUAAUAAUGAUGCUCAGGUGGGCCACAGGGCUGUCACCUCUGUCUUGUAUCUCUGAUGCUCAAAAAAGGGACCUUGAGCUCUGACAACCUCCCAGCCCAGCUCUAAUCUGCUCAGUCCAGAGAGCAGCACCCACUCAGGAGACCUGGAGUCCUGUCUCAGCUCUGCCACUUCUUGGCUAUGUGCCCAUGAUCUAAUCGUCCCCUCUGUAAACAGGACUGCUGCUCUCAAGGCUGAUGAGAAGCACAGAUGGAAUAACACCUGGAAUGACGUCAGACCUCCUCUCCACACAUCUCUCUUCACCUCUUCCCCAAUGGGUCGAACCCGCCACACAAGGAAGCUGCUGCAGCCCUCUCCUGCUCUGUCUUCUGAGUACUGUCCUGACAGGUCCACUCAUUCCUGACCUCGCAUAUACAUGGAAAGCUAAUAGAGGGCCAGGAAAACAGUGAGGACUUCCCUGGGAGGUACAGGUAGAGAUGGCAACCUGGCCAGCUGGAAGAACUCAGCCUGGGAGUCAGGAAGUCUGGGACAGGGUCUGUCUCCAUCUCCACUCACACUGUGACCAGGAAAAGUAUGUGCCUCUCUGCAUCUCGGUCUUCUCAUCUGAAACACGGGGAUAUAAGCAGGGUCUGGGUAGAUCCAAGGGAUCUGAUUUUAAACAGGAAGAAGGUUUCACAUACAUUCCUGGUCAGAAGAGAAAUCAGGACAUAAAAGUCAUAUUUAUGCAAGCUUUUAAAAACACCUUAGUGGUGUAUUAAGAAUUGUAAUGCAAAUAAUAAUAAUAAUGAUAAUAAUAAUAAUAGAGCUCAUGUAUAAUGGCAUAAUUUGGAGCGAACAUAUUUUAUAUACAGAGUUACAAAAAAAUGGUGUUGUGAUGGAUAGUUAUUAUUGUAAUGCAUUCCACUUUUGUCAUGUAUGUAAGAAAUUUUUAAAAAUAGUUAAAAAAAAAAAUAGAAACAUAUAAAAUAGAAUAAUUUCCUGCCACAUUGUCUAUAAUAGCAAAAAUUGGAAACAACUAUUCAUAAAUAUAAGUGGAAAUACCUUGAAGCUGGGAAAAAAAAAAGUGAGGAAAUCAGUGUGGGUGGGGGGGUAGUUUGUUUGUUUUUGGUUUUAAACAAAACAAAACCUUAAACCCCUAAGGUUGCUUUACCACUGAGCUACAUCCCCAGCCCUUUUCUUAAUUUUUUUUUUUUCAAGACUGGGUCUUGCUAAAUUGCUGAGGGCUUUGCUAAGUUGCUGAGGCUGGCCUUGAACUUGUGAUCGUCCUGCCUCAGCUUCCUGAGUUGCUGGGAUUAAAGGUGUGCACCACUGUGCCAGGUGAGGAAAUUCUUUAUGUUCUGAAAUGAGUUAAUUUCAGCAUGUGGAAGAAUGUGUAAGCUCAGGUGGCUCUCGAGUCACUGAGAAACUGAUAACACUGGUUGCAGGGCAGCAGGAGAACUGGAGGGAAGGCAGAGUAAGAGUCUUUUCUUUUCAUCUGUUAUAAAUUUCUGGACUGUAGGAAUGUAUUCCCUAUUUACCUAUUUUUAAAAUUUGAAAUGAUUUGUGUUCUUUGUAAAAAAAAAUUCUUUAAAAAUCUAGCUUAGGGAAAUGAUUCUUUAGUUUUGAGCACAGAUUCAUGUACAAGAAUGUUCAUCAGAGCCUUUUUUGAAGACAAGAUCAGUAAGGGAGGGAAUAUUGGCAGACAUCAGAAAGGGGGAGGAGCUAUUGUAAUCCUCAGGCAGAGAAAGAGGGCUGAGCUCAAUGGAUUGUUGCAUUAAAAACAAAACAGCAUUUUCUGCAAAUUUUAUGUGCAGAGCUACAGAUGUCUGGAAGGGUGUUCACAUUUCAUAAAUGUCAGUGCUGCUUAUUGGGUGACUUCUAUUUAAUUAAAAAAAAUUCCUGAUGUUUAAAGGCCUGGGUUAGUUUUCUUUUUAAAAUGCUUACUAUAAAUAAUUAAUAAAGUGUGUAUCAGUGUGUAUAGUAGUCAUAGAGAAAGUCUAGAAAGAAAUAUUCAAA